Molecule: long non-coding RNA, 215 nt
Filed under: Lathyrus oleraceus (garden pea)
Lineage: Eukaryota; Viridiplantae; Streptophyta; Magnoliopsida; Fabales; Fabaceae
Description: Pisum sativum (pea) long non-coding RNA (PSAT_LNC040517)
Source: RNAcentral
GUGAAUCCGUGGCGGCGGUUGAAGGUCUGAAGAAUGGCCGAGAGAUGAGGAAGAUGAAGGGAUUGUCAGGAUUGAAGGUUGUUGAGUGAGGGUUUUGAGAGUGAGUGAAGAGGGUUUUUGUGUGAGAAUCCAUUUUCAGAAUGGAGAGCGGAUUUGUGAGGUAAAGGAGAGGGAUUGUGAGUGGAGAUGUGAGUGAGAAGGAGCGUGAGGUGAGG